Molecule: long non-coding RNA, 285 nt
Filed under: Numida meleagris (helmeted guineafowl)
Lineage: Eukaryota; Metazoa; Chordata; Aves; Galliformes; Numididae
Description: lncRNA (ENSNMEG00000014776.1)
Source: RNAcentral
CAAGAGUAGAUUACUGCAUAGACUUCUUUUCAAGUACACAAGGGAAUGACUGAAUUUCCUGGAAAGAGGUCUCUGCAGAGUCAUUCAGCGACAUACAAGGUUGUUGGCUCACUUCGAGAGGCUGAUUUUGGAAGGGAAUCUGGGGAGCUGAACAACAGAUAUAGGUCAUUAGGAAAACAAGAAGCUCUUUGUGCUGUUGAUCAAGUCAGAAGGUUGCACUGGACUGCAGUCGUUGCUCUUCAUCCAGUACGCAAACACAGAAGAAAAAAAGAAAAAAGAAUGUAA